GAUGAACGCUAGCUACAGGCUUAACACAUGCAAGUCGAGGGGCAGCAUGGUCUUAGCUUGCUAAGGCCGAUGGCGACCGGCGCACGGGUGAGUAACACGUAUCCAACCUGCCGUCUACUCUUGGACAGCCUUCUGAAAGGAAGAUUAAUACAAGAUGGCAUCAUGAGUCCGCAUGUUCACAUGAUUAAAGGUAUUCCGGUAGACGAUGGGGAUGCGUUCCAUUAGAUAGUAGGCGGGGUAACGGCCCACCUAGUCUUCGAUGGAUAGGGGUUCUGAGAGGAAGGUCCCCCACAUUGGAACUGAGACACGGUCCAAACUCCUACGGGAGGCAGCAGUGAGGAAUAGUGGUCAAUGGGCGAGAGCCUGAACCAGCCAAGUAGCGUGAAGGAGGACUGCCCUAUGGGUGGUAAACUUCUUUUAUAAAGGAAUAAAGUCGGGUAUGGAUACCCGUCUGCAUGUACUUUAUGAAUAAGGAUCGGCUAACUCCGUG
RNAcentral lists this ribosomal RNA (490 nucleotides) under uncultured bacterium. RNAcentral's name for it is "partial 16S ribosomal RNA". It matches the Rfam family "Bacterial small subunit ribosomal RNA", at positions 28 to 507 of the family's 1533-position model. The record is from RNAcentral.